Molecule: long non-coding RNA, 619 nt
Organism: Peromyscus californicus insignis
Lineage: Eukaryota; Metazoa; Chordata; Mammalia; Rodentia; Cricetidae
Exons: 3
Source: RefSeq, a predicted model, not a curated record
CUCACCGUGGCGUUGCCAGUGGCGCUGUAGGGACAGUAGACUUCCGGAUCCUCCAGCGGCAGCUGCUCCUGGGCGCUCCCGGCUGCAUCCACCCAGUGCAAGGUGUUAGGGUGCCCCUCCCCAAGGAACCGAAGAAACAUGGCCUGGAGGUCACUCCAGUACAACGUGCCCAGGCCGGAGUUGAGGUCCAGCUCAGAGUUGACAUCCUCGCCGACCAUCAACACGGAGUCCCCGCAUGCCUGGCAGGACCCUCGAAAGGUCACAUAGCCCAGGAGGAAGGCUGGCAGGUGGUGCCCCAGAUCAGGGCCUUCCACACGUUUAUAGAUGGUCUGAGAGGGUCUUGGGGACCACUGUUGCUGUGUGGAGCGGGCAGGUAGGCAUGAGAUUAGGGGAAGGGGCCUAGGAGUUGGGGAAGGGUUAGGCAAGAAUGGUGUCACCGGCUGGGGCAGGGAGGGAGCUCUAGGGGGGAGGCUGGAGAGGAGGCACCCAAGGGGGAUGAGGUGGGGCCAACCUUACGCAUUAGGGAGGGGCCUGAGGACCAUGGAGGAAGACCUAAUGCGUGUAACCCUCCCACCCGCAUGGUCUUACCGCUCUCUGCAGUAGACCCCAAAGUUGGUCC